GACGAACGCUGGCGGCGUGCUUAACACAUGCAAGUCGAACGGAAAGGCCCUGCUUUUGUGGGGUGCUCGAGUGGCGAACGGGUGAGUAACACGUGAGUAACCUGCCCUUGACUUUGGGAUAACUUCAGGAAACUGGGGCUAAUACCGGAUAGGAUCUCCUGCUGCAUGGUGGGGGUUGGAAAGUUUCGGCUGUUGGGGCUGGACUCGCGGCUUAUCAGCUUGUUGGUGGGGUAGUGGCUUACGAAGGCUUUGACGGGUAGCCGGCGUGGGAGGGUGGACGGCGACAUUGGGACUGAGGUACGGCCCAGACUGGUACGGGAGGCAGCAGUGGAGAGUAUUGCACAGUGAGCGCAAGCCUGAUGCAGCAACGCCGCGUGCGGGAUGCCGGCCUUCGGGUUGUGAACCGCUUUCGCCUGUGACGAAGCGUGAGUGACGGUAAUGAGUAAAGAAGCACCGGCUAACUACGUG
Molecule: ribosomal RNA, 468 nt
Filed under: uncultured bacterium
Lineage: Bacteria
Description: partial 16S ribosomal RNA
Rfam family: Bacterial small subunit ribosomal RNA
Source: RNAcentral